AUUUUUUUUAAAAGCUGUAUUCAUUUUGAAUAGGAAAAAAAAUGAAGCUAGUAAACAUUUUUAUUUUCCCUGAAUUUGACCUCCUACAAAAAGCAGAUGUUCUACCAUGGAUUAAAAAGGGAUAAAAAGAGCAAAGAAUAACACCAUGAAUUACUGGCAAUGACAAAGCUGCACGAGGAAACUGACCAGGCACCAGGGAAUUUGAAACAUAAAAGACUAAGCAAUAAUUUAAGCUGAUUCCAUGAAGUUCUUGGACUCAGAUCAGAACUUACACCAUGAGCUGCCACCAUCCCAUACCUGCACCCCCACACACCCAUUCUCAGGCCUUUAGACUUGGAGCGAAUUACACCACCAACUUUCCUGGUUCUCCAGUUUGCAGAUAGCAGAUCGUGGGACAUCUUGAUCUCCAUAAUCAUGGGAACAAAACAUACAGAAGAAAGCACACCAAAUGUUUACAUAAAAUUGUAGCGCACACUGGGUCUCCUGAAGGACAUCACUGAGUCUUUCUGCGUCCAGACUCCUUACCCUAAGGGUGGGGAUUUCAGAGAUGGAAUAUGAGGAAGAUAAGGCAACAGCAAUAGAUUGGAGAAGUUUCUUUAAAACGAAGGAUUUACAGUCUGUGUUCUUCAAACAACUGCCUCGAGACAGAGCACAGGCAGCGCCUAAUCGGUCAGCCAGCCACCAGUUAAUAAAGCUUCCUCUUUCUGUUCGUUUGCUGCCCAGAACAAUCUGAGAAGCUGAGGAAGCUUGAGAAAAUUCUUAAAGAUAAUCAAAGAGUAAUUACAAUCAUCUUUGUUUCACCGAAAGUUUAAUUAAGAACAGCUAUAGAGAAAACAUAUGUUUCUUAUCCUUCAGUUGUUUUGUAAUCAGCAACAAAAAUGAGAAAGUAGCAACUCAGAAAAUAAAGGAAGCAGGAACAUUUGAAAGAAAGCAAUCUGAGGUGCAGAGGAAAAUCUUUGGUGCAUAAGCUGGAACACAAAAGCAAAAAUGAUGAAAAUUGAACAAUGUUAACAUUUUUAGGGGCCUU
RNAcentral lists this long non-coding RNA (1027 nucleotides) under Equus caballus (horse). RNAcentral describes it as "lncRNA (ENSECAG00000058714.1)". The record is from RNAcentral. Lineage: Eukaryota; Metazoa; Chordata; Mammalia; Perissodactyla; Equidae.